This is a long non-coding RNA of Lutra lutra (Eurasian river otter), 1907 nucleotides long. RefSeq lists it as uncharacterized. NCBI's taxonomy places the organism in Eukaryota, Metazoa, Chordata, Mammalia, Carnivora, Mustelidae. The transcript has 3 exons. The record is from RefSeq and is a predicted model, not a curated record.
GGAACACAGCAAUAGCCCGGGGGGGCCCGAGGUUGGCUGUUUCUGGGGCUGAAGGAGCUGGUGGGUCCUCCCAGAGACGAGGAACCUGAGACCAGGAAGGCUGUCAUUCAUCCAAGAUCAGGAAACUGCCGUCCAGUUUACUCCAGUGGAUGGAGAGGGGAGAUGAAUUUGGCUCCUCAUACGCCCACUGGUGCCUCUCCCCCAAGCCCCCCAGCCUAGCUGCCAGCAGCUCCCUGGAAACUCCCGGCGGAAAAAUAAUUGUGCUGGCCCAGGGCUGCUGGCGAGACCCGGGAGCUCCCUUCUCUGUGUCCUGCUGAUGCCAGCCCCAAAAGGCACCCACCAAUUUCCUCCCAACUGGAAUGCAGUGUUUCUGGAGCACCUACUGGGUGCCGACAGGCCCUGGGAGAGCAGAUCCUAUUCCUUUCCCCGCCUGGUCUGCCGGAGGAGCAGACAACAGGGCAAGCUGCGACAAGAAAGCCACCAGGCCCCAGUCACUGUGCACUGAGCCCCUACGACACGCUGGGAGUUCCCAUGCCCACUGGACCCUCCCAGCAACCCCUCGGGUGGCUGUCAGCAGUCCCAUUUUCGAGAAGUGGCAACUGAGCCUCCACAGGGGAGAGUGCUGGUCUAGCGUCAUCCAGUUAAAAAAGGCAGCCCCAAGACCCCACCCCUGAUCAUCUGAUAUCAGAGCCCACCGCCUCUCCUAAACCCUUCCUGGAAAGUCCUGGCAUCAGAGCUGUGGGAGUGAGCUUUCCUGGGCAGGGCGGUGUGGGGUCAGGGCCCCCGCUGGAGGUGCAGCCUCCCCCCUGCACUGGGAAUAGCAGGGGGCCUGGACCUCACUGGACACCAGCCUUUCUUUUACAAUGAUGCAUUAUUUAUCUCGCUCAGGCCACACAUGUGCGAACUCUCUAGAUAAUUUUGGUCUGUCCUUUUAAGCAACAACAGUUAUAAUUUAACCACUUAUGAGGAAAUGAAGUCUACACAAUAUCUUCUCUGUGUCCGUAAGAAAAAAAUUUACGACCACAAACCUUUUUCAGGCCACAGCACCGUAGGGUAAGAGUCUAGGUAGAGUAAGAGUCUUAUUGAGAGGGGAAAGGUUACCUGCACCCACACAAAUGGCCUCCACCUGGUAUGUUGUUAUGCCUGCUUUUAAUGGUUGUUCUGUGUCCUCUCUUGUUGUUGGACUCAUUUCUAAAAGCACUUAAGGUCUGUUCUGAAGAGUGGAAAAUGAGUCUGAUGCCUCUUGUUGGUGACUGGAGUGUCCAUGAUUCUGUUGGGAGCACAGUUUAACAGCAAAGGGAAUUCAUCAAGAGAAUCAACACUACCAAGUACUGCUCAAGUUCAGGAAGCUCUGGGGACUCAAGGACUGAGAUCGGGGUCUUGACACAGUGUGGCUUUUAGCCUGUAUAGUAGAUUUGUGCCAAGUAGAGAAAAGUUCCACUUCCUCGAGACACUUGACUGCCAUCUGCUGGGAAAUUGUCCUGAUAAAUACACAAAUAUAUCUUGUUAACUGUGUGAAUAACACCCUUUAGAAUUAUGCACAACUUGUACAGCUGUUCAUGGCAGCUCUGCCUUGAUGUCACCAGAAUUCUCCUUCUCCAUCGCGUCGUAUGUUUUUCUGCCUUCAUUUUGGUCUUCCGUACCUUAGAUUGGAUUUAUCUUUGUGGUCAAAAUAUGACUGCUCUAUAACUCAAGAAACAAGGUCCCUUUCCCAGGCAUCCCCCAAAAUAAAAAAGUAUAGCUAAGGACUCUGGACCAUAUUGAGUAACCCUGCAUCACUAAAUCACCUCUGUGAUCAUGGAGAGGGGAUGGGUGUCAGUCAGAGCAGUCAAAGUUACUGCUGCAUAACAAGCCACCCAAAACCUCAGUAGCUUAAAGAACAAAGAUUUAUCUCUUACUCGCACUGA